Molecule: long non-coding RNA, 817 nt
Organism: Bos taurus (domestic cattle)
Lineage: Eukaryota; Metazoa; Chordata; Mammalia; Artiodactyla; Bovidae
Source: Ensembl
AUCGGGGUGGACAUGUUUGGGAAAUGUGUGUGAGAUCACGUCAGGCCCCGUGGACAUGGUGGAGGAGGGAGGCCUGUGAGAAAGAGGCAGUUGGCUUUGCCCAUCUCGAUCGUGUCCUGAGGAACGCUGGGACAGGAAAUGCCCAGCGUUUCUUUACUGUUUACUGGACGCCAGACCCACAGAUUUGGAAAGUUGCCUUGGGAGUCAUGAAAAGAUGAAGGGAGAAGGAGGAGGAGCACUGGUUUUCUGCCUUUUGUGGGACUGCCCUGGAGAUUCAAGAUGGAGUUCUGCAGAAUGGGAUGAGGGUGGGGAAGCCCCAACUGAGAGAACAAAGACAUCAAGUUGAAAGGAUGAAACCCUCUUCCUGUGAUUAACAAGAUGAGAAACAAGGCCACAAAAAGUCCCAGUUUUUAUACCUUAGCAUGUGGGCAGCCACAAAAAGCCUGGGUCCUUUACAUCAGUCUUGUCCCAAAACUUCCAUGGAAGGGUUCAGGCUUCUGCUGCUGCUGCUAAGUCGUUUCAGUCCUGUCCGACUCUGUGUGACCCCAUAGACAGCAGCCCACCAGGCUCCCCGGUCCCUGGGAUUCUCCAGGCAAGAACACUGGAGUGGGUUGCUAUUUUCUUCUCCAAAGCAUGAAAGUGAAAAGUGAAAGUAAAGUCACUCAGUCGUGUCCGAGUCUUAGCGACCCCAUGGACUGCAGCCUACCAGGCUCCUCCGUCCAUGGGGUUUUCCAGGCAAGAGUACUGGAGUGGGGUGCCAUUGCCUUUUGCGUUUGCCUUCAGUUCAGUUCAGUUUAGUCGCUCAGUCGUGUCGGAC